This 517-nucleotide ribosomal RNA is filed under the name uncultured bacterium. Its description in RNAcentral is "bacterial SSU rRNA". It matches the Rfam family "Bacterial small subunit ribosomal RNA", at positions 8 to 518 of the family's 1533-position model. The record is from RNAcentral.
AGAGUUGAUCAUGGCUCAGGAUGAACGCUAGCGACAGGCUAACACAUGCAAGUCGAGGGCAGCAUAAAAGUAGCAAUACGUUGGUGGCGACCGGCGCACGGGUGAGUAACGCGUAUGCAACCUACCGUAUCAGAGGGGAAUAACCCGGCGAAAGUCGGACUAAUACCGCAUAAAACAGGGGCACCGCAUGGUGAUAUUUGUUAAAGAAAUUCGCUGAUAGAUGGGCAUGCGUUCCAUUAGGUAGUUGGUGAGGUAACGGCUCACCAAGCCGACGAUGGAUAGGGGAACUGAGAGGUUGGUCCCCCACACUGGUACUGAGACACGGACCAGACUCCUACGGGAGGCAGCAGUGAGGAAUAUUGGUCAAUGGGCGGGAGCCUGAACCAGCCAAGUCGCGUGAAAGGAAGAAGGAUCUAUGGUUCGUAAACUUCUUUUGCAGGGGAAUAAAGUGCAGGACGUGUCCUGUUUUGUAUGUACCCUGAGAAUAAGGAUCGGCUAACUCCGUGCCAGCCGCAGC